RNAcentral lists this ribosomal RNA (483 nucleotides) under uncultured bacterium. RNAcentral describes it as "bacterial SSU rRNA". It matches the Rfam family "Bacterial small subunit ribosomal RNA", at positions 29 to 507 of the family's 1533-position model. The record is from RNAcentral.
AUGAACGCUAGCGGCAGGCUUAAUACAUGCAAGUCGAGGGGCAGCAUGAGUAGCAAUACUUGAUGGCGACCGGCAAACGGGUGCGGAACACGUACACAACCUUCCUUUAAGUGGGGAAUAGCCCAGAGAAAUUUGGAUUAAUACCCCGUAACAUAUAGAUGUGGCAUCACAAUUAUAUUAUAGGUUUACCGCUUAAAGAUGGGUGUGCGGCUGAUUAGAUAGUUGGCGGGGUAAUGGCCCACCAAGUCUACGAUCAGUAGCUGAUGUGAGAGCAUGAUCAGCCACACGGGCACUGAGACACGGGCCCGACUCCUACGGGAGGCAGCAGUAAGGAAUAUUGGACAAUGGACGCAAGUCUGAUCCAGCCAUGCCGCGUGAAGGAUUAAGGUCCUCUGGAUUGUAAACUUCUUUUAUAUGGGACGAAAAAAGGGCAUUCUUGCUCACUUGACGGUACCAUAUGAAUAAGCACCGGCUAACUCCGUG